GGGAUUGUGGCUCAGUGGUGGAGCACUUGCCUAGCAUGCAUGAGUCACUGGGUUCGAUCCCCGGCACCA
RNAcentral lists this transfer RNA (69 nucleotides) under Ictidomys tridecemlineatus (thirteen-lined ground squirrel). Its description in RNAcentral is "Spermophilus tridecemlineatus (thirteen-lined ground squirrel) tRNA". It matches the Rfam family "tRNA". From Rfam's summary of the family: Transfer RNA (tRNA) molecules are approximately 80 nucleotides in length. Their secondary structure includes four short double-helical elements and three loops (D, anti-codon, and T loops). Further hydrogen bonds mediate the characteristic L-shaped molecular structure. tRNAs have two regions of fundamental functional importance: the anti-codon, which is responsible for specific mRNA codon recognition, and the 3' end, to which the tRNAs corresponding amino acid is attached (by aminoacyl-tRNA synthetases). tRNAs cope with the degeneracy of the genetic code in two manners: having more than one tRNA (with a specific anti-codon) for a particular amino acid; and 'wobble' base-pairing, i.e. permitting non-standard base-pairing at the 3rd anti-codon position. The record is from Rfam by way of RNAcentral. Lineage: Eukaryota; Metazoa; Chordata; Mammalia; Rodentia; Sciuridae.